RNAcentral lists this long non-coding RNA (680 nucleotides) under Fragaria vesca (wild strawberry). RNAcentral describes it as "long non-coding RNA (FVES_LNC003331)". The record is from RNAcentral. Lineage: Eukaryota; Viridiplantae; Streptophyta; Magnoliopsida; Rosales; Rosaceae.
GGACGACCAGAUCGGCGGCGGUGGCGGCGGCAUCGACGGCACUAGCCGCCGGCACCGCCGAAAGGUCGGAGUCUUUGUUGGACCACGAAGCCGCGACGAUCUGCGCGACGCCGAUGUUGCUGCAGUUGCGGCGGGCCUUGGUGCUGAGCUGGCGGACGAAGUUGGGAGGGAAGCGGAGAAUGAGUGACGAUAGGCCGUGAAACGGCGCCGGAGAGUCGACGCGGCCUGCGGCGAAGCCGGGGCGGGGAUUGACGGCGGCGCGGGUGGCGAGGUCGGGGUGGUGGCGGCAGCAGUAGGUGGAGGAGGAGGAGGAGGAGGUGAAAACCCUAGGACACGUGUACACGCCCAUGGUGGUGAGAGUGAGGAAGAUUGAUGAGGGAUCGAGAGCAGGGUUUUAGCUGGAGCGAGAGUUUCUAAUUUUUCGGGAAAGUGGUUAGGGGGGUUUGAGUUGGUCUACCAUCCAGGGGAUUUAAUACCCGCCUUUUUCUAUUUUUCGUAAUCGAUUUCAGUGUUUAUUCUUCUCUUUUUUUAAGGUGUAACAAACAACAAAGAAGAUGGAUGCUAGCUUGGUCCAGUUGGAUUCGUGCCGACGUGGAUCCACUCUGGCAACAUAAAAGAACCAAAAUUAUUCUUUUGAAUGAUUAUUGAAUUCAUUUAGAAAUAAAUAGAGCUCUUUUAAU